AGGACAACCUAAUGAUGCGGCAGUUUUUACAAUUUCUUCAACAAGUUUAUCAUUUACAUCAACUGUUGCUUC
RNAcentral lists this transfer RNA (72 nucleotides) under Candidatus Nitrosarchaeum limnium SFB1. RNAcentral describes it as "tRNA-Ala". The record is from RNAcentral. Lineage: Archaea; Thermoproteati; Nitrososphaerota; Nitrososphaeria; Nitrosopumilales; Nitrosopumilaceae.